CCUACGGGGGCAGCAGUGGGGAAUAUUGGACAAUGGGGGGAACCCUGAUCCAGCCAUGCCGCGUGUGUGAAGAAGGCCCUCGGGUUGUAAAGCACUUUCAGUGAGGAAGAACGCCUGGUGGUUAAUACCCAUCAGGAAAGACAUCACUCACAGAAGAAGCACCGGCUAACUCCGUGCCAGCAGCCGCGGUAAUACGGAGGGUGCGAGCGUUAAUCGGAAUUACUGGGCGUAAAGCGCGCGUAGGUGGCUUGAUAAGCCGGUUGUGAAAGCCCCGGGCUCAACCUGGGAACGGCAUCCGGAACUGUCAAGCUAGAGUGCAGGAGAGGAAGGUAGAAUUCCCGGUGUAGCGGUGAAAUGCGUAGAGAUCGGGAGGAAUACCAGUGGCGAAGGCGGCCUUCUGGACUGACACUGACACUGAGGUGCGAAAGCGUGGGUAGCAAACAGGAUUAGAUACCCGGGUAGUC
Molecule: ribosomal RNA, 464 nt
Filed under: Vreelandella stevensii
Lineage: Bacteria; Pseudomonadati; Pseudomonadota; Gammaproteobacteria; Oceanospirillales; Halomonadaceae
Description: partial 16S ribosomal RNA
Rfam family: Bacterial small subunit ribosomal RNA
Source: RNAcentral